AGACCCGAAACCCGGUGAUCUAGCCAUGGGCAGGUUGAAGGUUGGGUAACACUAACUGGAGGACCGAACCGACUAAUGUUGAAAAAUUAGCGGAUGACCUGUGGCUGGGGGUGAAAGGCCAAUCAAACCGGGAGAUAGCUGGUUCUCCCCGAAAGCUAUUUAGGUAGCGCCUCGUGAAUUCAUCUCCGGGGGUAGAGCACUGUUUCGGCUAGGGGGCCAUCCCGGCUUACCAACCCGAUGCAAACUGCGAAUACCGGAGAAUGUUAUCACGGGAGACACACGGCGGGUGCUAACGUCCGUCGUGAAGAGGGAAACAACCCAGACCGCCAGCUAAGGUCCCAAAGUCAUGGUUAAGUGGGAAACGAUGUGGGAAGGCCCAGACAGCCAGGAUGUUGGCUU
RNAcentral lists this ribosomal RNA (399 nucleotides) under Salmonella enterica. RNAcentral describes it as "partial 23S ribosomal RNA". It matches the Rfam family "Bacterial large subunit ribosomal RNA", at positions 711 to 1107 of the family's 2925-position model. RNAcentral also lists the same sequence under 3 other names. The record is from RNAcentral. Lineage: Bacteria; Pseudomonadati; Pseudomonadota; Gammaproteobacteria; Enterobacterales; Enterobacteriaceae.